RNAcentral lists this ribosomal RNA (1439 nucleotides) under uncultured organism. RNAcentral describes it as "16S ribosomal RNA". It matches the Rfam family "Bacterial small subunit ribosomal RNA". The record is from RNAcentral.
GAUGAACGCUAGCUACAGGCUUAACACAUGCAAGUCGAGGGGCAGCAUCAUCAAAGCUUGCUUUGAUGGAUGGCGACCGGCGCACGGGUGAGUAACACGUAUCCAACCUGCCGACAACACUGGGAUAGCCUUUCGAAAGAAAGAUUAAUACCGGAUGGCAUAAUUAUUCCGCAUGGGAUAAUUAUUAAAGAAUUUCGGUUGUCGAUGGGGAUGCGUUCCAUUAGGCAGUUGGCGGGGUAACGGCCCACCAAACCUACGAUGGAUAGGGGUUCUGAGAGGAAGGUCCCCCACAUUGGAACUGAGACACGGUCCAAACUCCUACGGGAGGCAGCAGUGAGGAAUAUUGGUCAAUGGACGAGAGUCUGAACCAGCCAAGUAGCGUGAAGGAUGACUGCCCUAUGGGUUGUAAACUUCUUUUAUACGGGAAUAAAGUGAGCCACGUGUGGCUUUUUGUAUGUACCGUAUGAAUAAGGAUCGGCUAACUCCGUGCCAGCAGCCGCGGUAAUACGGAGGAUCCGAGCGUUAUCCGGAUUUAUUGGGUUUAAAGGGAGCGUAGGCGGGUUGUUAAGUCAGUUGUGAAAGUUUGCGGCUCAACCGUAAAAUUGCAGUUGAUACUGGCGACCUUGAGUGCAACAGAGGUAGGCGGAAUUCGUGGUGUAGCGGUGAAAUGCUUAGAUAUCACGAAGAACUCCGAUUGCGAAGGCAGCUUACUGGAUUGUAACUGACGCUGAUGCUCGAAAGUGUGGGUAUCAAACAGGAUUAGAUACCCUGGUAGUCCACACAGUAAACGAUGAAUACUCGCUGUUGGCGAUAUACAGUCAGCGGCCAAGCGAAAGCAUUAAGUAUUCCACCUGGGGAGUACGCCGGCAACGGUGAAACUCAAAGGAAUUGACGGGGGCCCGCACAAGCGGAGGAACAUGUGGUUUAAUUCGAUGAUACGCGAGGAACCUUACCCGGGCUUAAAUUGCAACUGACGGAACCGGAAACGGUUCUUUCUUCGGACAGUUGUGAAGGUGCUGCAUGGUUGUCGUCAGCUCGUGCCGUGAGGUGUCGGCUUAAGUGCCAUAACGAGCGCAACCCUUACGGGUAGUUACCAUCAGGUUAUGCUGGGGACUCUACCCGGACUGCCGUCGUAAGAUGUGAGGAAGGUGGGGAUGACGUCAAAUCAGCACGGCCCUUACGUCCGGGGCUACACACGUGUUACAAUGGGGGGUACAGAAGGCAGCUACACGGCGACGUGGUGCUAAUCCCAAAAGCCUCUCUCAGUUCGGAUUGGAGUCUGCAACCCGACUCCAUGAAGCUGGAUUCGCUAGUAAUCGCGCAUCAGCCACGGCGCGGUGAAUACGUUCCCGGGCCUUGUACACACCGCCCGUCAAGCCAUGAAAGCCGGGGGUACCUGAAGUACGUAACCGCGAGGAGCGUCCUAGGGUAAAACUGGU